Molecule: ribosomal RNA, 497 nt
Filed under: uncultured bacterium
Lineage: Bacteria
Description: partial 16S ribosomal RNA
Rfam family: Bacterial small subunit ribosomal RNA
Source: RNAcentral
GAUGAACGCUGGCGGCGUGCCUAAUACAUGCAAGUCGAGCGAACGGACGAGAAGCUUGCUUCUCUGAUGUUAGCGGCGGACGGGUGAGUAACACGUGGAUAACCUACCUAUAAGACUGGGAUAACUUCGGGAAACCGGAGCUAAUACCGGAUAAUAUUUUGAACCGCAUGGUUCAAAAGUGAAAGACGGUCUUGCUGUCACUUAUAGAUGGAUCCGCGCUGCAUUAGCUAGUUGGUAAGGUAACGGCUUACCAAGGCAACGAUGCAUAGCCGACCUGAGAGGGUGAUCGGCCACACUGGAACUGGGACACGGUCCAGACUCCUACGGGAGGCAGCAGGAGGGAAUCUUCCGCAAUGGGCGGAAGCCUGACGGAGCAACGCCGCGUGAGUGAUGAAGGUCUUCGGAUCGUAAAACUCUGUUAUUAGGGAAGAACAUAUGUGUAAGUAACUGUGCACAUCUUGACGGUACCUAAUCAGAAAGCCACGGCUAACUACGUG